This 3107-nucleotide long non-coding RNA is filed under the name Nicotiana benthamiana. Its description in RNAcentral is "long non-coding RNA (NBEN_LNC020345)". The record is from RNAcentral. Lineage: Eukaryota; Viridiplantae; Streptophyta; Magnoliopsida; Solanales; Solanaceae.
AACAGGCACCUUCUUGAACAUCAUUGCACUUGUUAGUUCUUCAACCUGUUAGCUAUAAAUUUAGAGACUUUUCCUUAUUUUUUCACCAUUUAAAAUCUAAAAAGUCUUCCCUCUCCUCUCUAUAUUUCUCUACUCCUGCAUUUGAGUUCUAUCUUGUCAUUAUUACAAAAUAAUUUUUUGUUCAAUCUUUGCAGGAAUUAUUCAAAUACCUUUGGCAAUAACGAGGGAAUUAAAUUUCUUUAAGACACUACAAAAAAAGUGUGUGGGCUCGGAAUAAUUUUAUAUUUUUCUGUUCUAACCUUAUGUUUUCUUAUUUUUUUCUAGAUCAACACAGUUUUACGAAUAGUGUGUUCAUGAUUGGAAGAAAUUUGUUGCUGGUGGAAGAAAUUUGAUUUCGGCGAUGACAAAUUGGUUCAAGUUUAAGGGGCCAUUAGACCAUUUAGCGGUGAAAGUACAAUCUUGAAUUCUAGAGGAACCGAAAUGUAAAUUUUGUCAAAGUUUGAUUUUCAUCCUUUUUCCUUCUAUGUUUCAAAUCCAAAGUAAAAAGACUCGCUCGCAAAUCCCCAAAUACUGCAGUUUUAGCAAUGGCUUCUACCGUUUCUCUCUUGCAGCCGACUCUUACGUUUACUGGUAAGUAAUUUCAUUUAGUAGGAACCAAUUGGGGUUAAAUCCUGGUACUCUUAAUUGGGUCUGCAGACAAGUUUUUCAAAUUCUUCAGUUUUUUCUUAAAUUCUACUUUGAAGCUUGAACUGCCAUUUUGAUUUUGUUUUCUAAACAAGCUUUAGGUUCAGAAUAGUAGGGAACAAAGCUUUAGCCUAUUUAUUUAGCUAUUUUUUUGGCUCUACAAAAUUUUAAAAUGGAAGACCAUAAAGUUGAUUUUAUUGAGAUUUCCUUUUACUGUGGAGAGGAAGGGAAAAUUUCUGCUGAUACAGAAUUUUUUUAAUAUGUCCGAAAAAAAAGGAGUAUGAGAUUAAGGCAAGGACCCUUUCAAGUAUAUAUGCUACUUAAGAGGAAAAAAAAAAGAAUUGAAAGAACGGAGUUUCUAUUCUUUCAGGAUGAGCAUGAUCAGUCAAUUAAAGGCUUGGAUUCUUCUGACCUUUCGAGAAUUUUUCUAGCAAGGGUAUAUAAACCAUAGCAAUCUGUGAUUGAUGGGUUUUUAAGGAAUGAAAUUUAUAGGAAAAUUGGCGAAACCGCUUGAGCAAAAUCACACAAUGAUAUGGGUGCAUUGUUGCAGAGGGGUGAAAGGAUGAGUUUCUGGUGUUGUGUUAUUACAUGAUGUGAGGUUUGAAAAGAGAUGUGUCCAUUUGUUUCUGUGUGAUGUUAUGUGAUUCUUAUAGUGCAGAGAGGGCUAAAGAAAUGGUAAAUCUGCAGUUAUUUGGGAAUUUAUUUUAUGUAGAAUCUAUUCAAACUCAUUAGCUGAUAAGACCUGGAUUUUCUCUGUAUUUAUUCAUCUCACUGAGGGAAACUGUAUAAACUUUUCCUUCUUAAAUGUCGAGAUUAAUGUGCUUCACUCAUAAUCCUUGAGCCAUAUAGAACAAUGAAAAAGAUGUAUCACCAUAGAGGGGAAAGAUGAUAAUUUUGUUGCCUCCUGAGUUUUUUUUUUGUUGGUUCAAGUGUUAUUACAUAGCAUGAGUCUGAAAAAGGAUUUUUCUUUCUGUUACUGUACAUUGUUAGAAUGUGGUUUUUUGGGUGCAGUAAAGGCUAAAGCGUUAAAUCCUUGGUGAAUCUGCAUGUAGAAUGGCUGAAUUGCUUCCUAUAUGUUCUCUCUAGCAUUAUUAAGCCCUCCUUUCAUAUAGCAGAUUGCAAAUAAUUGAAUGAACUGUUGAAGAUGUUAUAAACUAGUGUUGUGCGAUUAGCAUAUCCAUGCGUACUUGUUAAAUUUAAGUUCUUUGCCUACAUGCCAUUUUCGUUUCCCUUGAAAUUGUAAAGUAUGAUGCUACUGCUUGUCAUUAGUGGGAAAGGCAAAGAAAUGCUAGGAGAAUUUGUAAAUGCAAAAUAUUUGACAUGGUUAUUAACCGGAGAUCAAUGCUAUGGGAGUGUUUGUCCUGAUGCACAAGGUCGGGUAAAAUUAACAAAUUAAAAGAGUUGGAUUGUGGUUCUUCAACAUUUUACUGCUUAGUGUAACCUCAGAAAGAACACCAUUCUCCUCAAACUAGGUGUAGGAUAACAUGAAAUGUUGAAGUGUAUUUACAUGAUUAGUAUCAUUUCCUGGAACGACAUAUGAACUUGUAAAACUGUUAUUGUGUCUUUGUAUUGUAACUCAUUAGUUGAAGAAGUUACAUAUGAGCAAAGUGACCUUCCUUAGACAAUUUCCCUUGCAUCCACCUCUGGAGCAUUUCCAGUGCUGCCUUAGGUUGAUCCAUUGGAACCAUGUGACCUGCAUCAUGGACCUUGAGGAAAGUUAGAGGCCCAUGGUUCUUUUGAAUUCCUUUCUCUUCACCAUCUACUGUAAAGGGUACGGAUCGGGCUGCCCCAAAGUCUUUCUGCCCGGACCAUUCCAUUGCAUGCACCCAUCUCGAGUUCCCUGUCCACACAAGGAAGAAUAUUUUAGUUCUGGAUUACAACAACUAUGCCCCAAGGCGGAUCAAGGAUUUAGUAGGAUUUAACCUUGAUGAGUUAGACCUUUAGGAUUUUUAGCAUUGAACUUAUUUUACUUUUAAAAUUAUGUGUUCAGAUCUAAUAUUUAUUGAAAUUUUAGUGAGUUAUCAACUUAUCAUAUAGAGAUCUAUGUUCUACAUUUAAUGAAUGAACCUGCAGGUUAAGAGCUAUAUCUGCUCCUGACUAUGCCUCAAUCUCAAGCAAGUUGAGGUUAAUUAUAUGAAUCCUCUCUGAAUGUCGCUCCAUUUAAGCUCAUCUCACACUGUGGUUUGGUAGUUUUAAAUAGACUGCACAUAAUAUUAGGACUCUCCCAAUUCAAGAUUGUACUAGUUUUUUGGAUCACAAAUGAAUGAAGCUUACCAAGCCAAUUGCAGAUAAGGUCAUAUUCCCCAGCGUAUACAAGUAGCUUGAUGCCAUCCUCAAGAAGUGGAGGAAUACCAGCUUCAAGAUUCCUCAUCCAAUCCAACUGCAUUGCCUGGUAAACUGUAGAACUACAUGAAACGAAAUCA